This 253-nucleotide ribosomal RNA is filed under the name uncultured bacterium. RNAcentral describes it as "partial 16S ribosomal RNA". It matches the Rfam family "Bacterial small subunit ribosomal RNA", at positions 524 to 776 of the family's 1533-position model. The record is from RNAcentral.
UAUGGAGGGGGCGAGCGUUAUUCGGAAUUAUUGGGCGUAAAGGGCGCGUAGGCGGCUGUACAAGUCAAAGGUGAAAUCCCUCGGCUCAACUGAGGAACUGCCUUUGAAACUGUACGGCUUGAGGCCGGGAGGGGGUAGCGGAAUUCCCAAUGUAGCGGUGAAAUGCGUAGAUAUUGGGAGGAACACCAGUGGCGAAGGCGGCUACCUGGACCGGUUCUGACGCUGAGGCGCGAAAGCGUGGGUAGCAAACAGG